This 497-nucleotide ribosomal RNA is filed under the name uncultured bacterium. RNAcentral describes it as "partial 16S ribosomal RNA". It matches the Rfam family "Bacterial small subunit ribosomal RNA", at positions 28 to 507 of the family's 1533-position model. The record is from RNAcentral.
GAUGAACGCUGGCGGCGUGCCUAAUACAUGCCAGUCGAGCGAACAGACGAGGAGCUUGCUCCUCUGACGUUAGCGGCGGACGGGUGAGUAACACGUGGAUAACCUACCUAUAAGACUGGGAUAACUUCGGGAAACCGGAGCUAAUACCGGAUAAUAUAUUGAACCGCAUGGUUCAAUAGUGAAAGACGGUUUUGCUGUCACUUAUAGAUGGAUCCGCGCCGCAUUAGCUAGUUGGUAAGGUAACGGCUUACCAAGGCAACGAUGCGUAGCCAACCUGAGGGGGUGAUCGGCCACACUGGAACUGAGACACGGUCCAGACUCCUACGGGAGGCAGCAGUAGGGAAUCUUCCGCAAUGGGCGAAAGCCUGACGGAGCAACGCCGCGUGAGUGAUGAAGGUCUUCGGAUCGUAAAACUCUGUUAUUAGGGAAGAACAAAUGUGUAAGUAACUAUGCACGUCUUGACGGUACCUAAUCAGAAAGCCACGGCUAACUACGUG